This 411-nucleotide ribosomal RNA is filed under the name uncultured bacterium. RNAcentral describes it as "bacterial SSU rRNA". It matches the Rfam family "Bacterial small subunit ribosomal RNA", at positions 370 to 772 of the family's 1533-position model. The record is from RNAcentral.
AAUGGGCGAAAGCCUGACGCAGCGACGCCGUGUGAGGGAAGAAGGCCUUCGGGUCGUAAACCUCUGUCAGAGGGGAAGAACCGCCUAAGGUCGAAUAGGCCUUGGGUCUGACGGUACCCUCAGAGGAAGCGCCGGCUAACUCCGUGCCAGCAGCCGCGGUAAUACGGAGGGCGCAAGCGUUAAUCGGAAUUACUGGGCGUAAAGCGCACGUAGGCGGCAAUGUAAGUCGGUCGUGAAAGCCCUCGGCUCAACCGAGGAACUGCGGUCGAUACUGCAUAGCUAGAGUAUCGGAGAGGGUGGCGGAAUUCCGGGUGUAGGAGUGAAAUCCGUAGAUAUCCGGAGGAACACCAGUGGCGAAGGCGGCCACCUGGACGAUUACUGACGCUGAGGUGCGAAAGCGUGGGGAGCAAA